CAUGUAUACCAGGUAGAUUGCGAAACAAAGGUUUCUAAUGCCUUGAAAAUUCAGAAAUACGACAAAGCCAUAGUAUUUCAAGAUAGAAAAAUCAGACUUCAUAAUAUACAGUUAGGGGAAAACAAUUACUCCUACUUGCACAACCUUGAAAUCCACAAUGUUCCCACUCUAUUACAACAACUUUACUAAGGUGUUUGGAGACAUGACAAUGUACACAUAAAUACUGGAGUAUGAGUUUUUGCUUGAUAUUACAUGCAGAGACGCUCAUAUCUAGGCUGCAUGUCAAAACACAGGAAAUAAGAAAGAAUUAAAUAUAAGAAAUUGACGGAUUCUUAAGAUAUAGAGGAUGUUAAACAUCUUCUUUCACCUUUCAAUCAAGUUGCAAAAUAUAUAAUCUUGUUUCAAAUAGAACUUAUUGAAGCAUGACUUAUUUCAUUGUAUUCUUAUUAUGCUCUUUAUUCAUGUAGUAUUUUUGUCCUUCCUUUGUGUCAAGAAUUACAGGUUGUUCACUUAGUAGUUAGUACAUAUCUUAAUCAAACAUAGUUUUCUAGCAUAAAAUUCUUCAAACUUACUGAAAAGUUAGUUUUUCAAAUUGUAGAUUCUCAAACUUCGAUGGUAUGUUCUCAUGGAAGUGGGAGAAUGAAAACCUUGACAGAAUAAUAUUUUUUUAAGUUAAGACGCGCAAAAUUGUAAAAACAUAAGAACAGAAAUUCAGAAAUGUGUUUAAAAGAAUAUCUUGAUGAAGAUGUAUAUCACAAAUUAUACAAAUUUAUGAGAAGUAGCAAUGAGAUAUUGAUUUGUGCAUGUUAUUAUAUUACAUAAUAAAACCAUUAAUACGAUAGUAAAAGAAUUUCUUACCAGGAACAAUUGAAUUCUUUUUUAUAUCCAAAGGAAACUUGAGUUGUUGUUGUCCUAAGAGGUA
Molecule: long non-coding RNA, 922 nt
Filed under: Nicotiana tabacum (common tobacco)
Lineage: Eukaryota; Viridiplantae; Streptophyta; Magnoliopsida; Solanales; Solanaceae
Description: long non-coding RNA (NTAB_LNC009620)
Source: RNAcentral